GGGUUGUGAGGUUAAGCGACUAAGCGUACACGGUGGAUGCCCUGGCAGUCAGAGGCGAUGAAGGACGUGCUAAUCUGCGAUAAGCGUCGGUAAGGUGAUAUGAACCGUUAUAACCGGCGAUUUCCGAAUGGGGAAACCCAGUGUGAUUCGUCACACUAUCAUUAACUGAAUCCAUAGGUUAAUGAGGCGAACCGGGGGAACUGAAACAUCUAAGUACCCCGAGGAAAAGAAAUCAACCGAGAUUCCCCCAGUAGCGGCGAGCGAACGGGGAGGAGCCCAGAGCCUGAAUCAGUGUGUGUGUUAGUGGAAGCGUCUGGAAAGGCGCGCGAUACAGGGUGACAGCCCCGUACACAAAAAUGCACAUAUUGUGAGCUCGAUGAGUAGGGCGGGACACGUGGUAUCCUGUCUGAAUAUGGGGGGACCAUCCUCCAAGGCUAAAUACUCCUGACUGACCGAUAGUGAACCAGUACCGUGAGGGAAAGGCGAAAAGAACCCCGGCGAGGGGAGUGAAAAAGAACCUGAAACCGUGUACGUACAAGCAGUGGGAGCCUCUUUUAUGGGGUGACUGCGUACCUUUUGUAUAAUGGGUCAGCGACUUAUAUUCUGUAGCAAGGUUAACCGAAUAGGGGAGCCGAAGGGAAACCGAGUCUUAACUGGGCGUUAAGUUGCAGGGUAUAGACCCGAAACCCGGUGAUCUAGCCAUGGGCAGGUUGAAGGUUGGGUAACACUAACUGGAGGACCGAACCGACUAAUGUUGAAAAAUUAGCGGAUGACUUGUGGCUGGGGGUGAAAGGCCAAUCAAACCGGGAGAUAGCUGGUUCUCCCCGAAAGCUAUUUAGGUAGCGCCUCGUGAAUUCAUCUCCGGGGGUAGAGCACUGUUUCGGCAAGGGGGUCAUCCCGACUUACCAACCCGAUGCAAACUGCGAAUACCGGAGAAUGUUAUCACGGGAGACACACGGCGGGUGCUAACGUCCGUCGUGAAGAGGGAAACAACCCAGACCGCCAGCUAAGGUCCCAAAGUCAUGGUUAAGUGGGAAACGAUGUGGGAAGGCCCAGACAGCCAGGAUGUUGGCUUAGAAGCAGCCAUCAUUUAAAGAAAGCGUAAUAGCUCACUGGUCGAGUCGGCCUGCGCGGAAGAUGUAACGGGGCUAAACCAUGCACCGAAGCUGCGGCAGCGACACUAUGUGUUGUUGGGUAGGGGAGCGUUCUGUAAGCCUGUGAAGGUGUACUGUGAGGUAUGCUGGAGGUAUCAGAAGUGCGAAUGCUGACAUAAGUAACGAUAAAGCGGGUGAAAAGCCCGCUCGCCGGAAGACCAAGGGUUCCUGUCCAACGUUAAUCGGGGCAGGGUGAGUCGACCCCUAAGGCGAGGCCGAAAGGCGUAGUCGAUGGGAAACAGGUUAAUAUUCCUGUACUUGGUGUUACUGCGAAGGGGGGACGGAGAAGGCUAUGUUGGCCGGGCGACGGUUGUCCCGGUUUAAGCGUGUAGGCUGGUUUUCCAGGCAAAUCCGGAAAAUCAAGGCUGAGGCGUGAUGACGAGGCACUACGGUGCUGAAGCAACAAAUGCCCUGCUUCCAGGAAAAGCCUCUAAGCAUCAGGUAACAUCAAAUCGUACCCCAAACCGACACAGGUGGUCAGGUAGAGAAUACCAAGGCGCUUGAGAGAACUCGGGUGAAGGAACUAGGCAAAAUGGUGCCGUAACUUCGGGAGAAGGCACGCUGAUAUGUAGGUGAAGUCCCUCGCGGAUGGAGCUGAAAUCAGUCGAAGAUACCAGCUGGCUGCAACUGUUUAUUAAAAACACAGCACUGUGCAAACACGAAAGUGGACGUAUACGGUGUGACGCCUGCCCGGUGCCGGAAGGUUAAUUGAUGGGGUCAGCGCAAGCGAAGCUCUUGAUCGAAGCCCCGGUAAACGGCGGCCGUAACUAUAACGGUCCUAAGGUAGCGAAAUUCCUUGUCGGGUAAGUUCCGACCUGCACGAAUGGCGUAAUGAUGGCCAGGCUGUCUCCACCCGAGACUCAGUGAAAUUGAACUCGCUGUGAAGAUGCAGUGUACCCGCGGCAAGACGGAAAGACCCCGUGAACCUUUACUAUAGCUUGACACUGAACAUUGAGCCUUGAUGUGUAGGAUAGGUGGGAGGCUUUGAAGUGUGGACGCCAGUCUGCAUGGAGCCGACCUUGAAAUACCACCCUUUAAUGUUUGAUGUUCUAACGUUGACCCGUAAUCCGGGUUGCGGACAGUGUCUGGUGGGUAGUUUGACUGGGGCGGUCUCCUCCUAAAGAGUAACGGAGGAGCACGAAGGUUGGCUAAUCCUGGUCGGACAUCAGGAGGUUAGUGCAAUGGCAUAAGCCAGCUUGACUGCGAGCGUGACGGCGCGAGCAGGUGCGAAAGCAGGUCAUAGUGAUCCGGUGGUUCUGAAUGGAAGGGCCAUCGCUCAACGGAUAAAAGGUACUCCGGGGAUAACAGGCUGAUACCGCCCAAGAGUUCAUAUCGACGGCGGUGUUUGGCACCUCGAUGUCGGCUCAUCACAUCCUGGGGCUGAAGUAGGUCCCAAGGGUAUGGCUGUUCGCCAUUUAAAGUGGUACGCGAGCUGGGUUUAGAACGUCGUGAGACAGUUCGGUCCCUAUCUGCCGUGGGCGCUGGAGAACUGAGGGGGGCUGCUCCUAGUACGAGAGGACCGGAGUGGACGCAUCACUGGUGUUCGGGUUGUCAUGCCAAUGGCACUGCCCGGUAGCUAAAUGCGGAAGAGAUAAGUGCUGAAAGCAUCUAAGCACGAAACUUGCCCCGAGAUGAGUUCUCCCUGACCCUUUAAGGGUCCUGAAGGAACGUUGAAGACGACGACGUUGAUAGGCCGGGUGUGUAAGCGCAGCGAUGCGUUGAGCUAACCGGUACUAAUGAACCGUGAGGCUUAACCUUACAACGCCGAAG
This 2924-nucleotide ribosomal RNA is filed under the name Escherichia coli ATCC 8739. Its description in RNAcentral is "bacterial LSU rRNA". It matches the Rfam family "Bacterial large subunit ribosomal RNA". The record is from RNAcentral. Lineage: Bacteria; Pseudomonadati; Pseudomonadota; Gammaproteobacteria; Enterobacterales; Enterobacteriaceae.